CAGCCGCCGCGGUAACACAGAGGAUGCAAGCGUUAUCCGGAAUGAUUGGGCGUAAGGCGUCUGUAGGUGGCUUUUCAAGUCCGCCGUCAAAUCCCAGGGCUCAACCCUGGACAGGCGGUGGAAACUACCAAGCUGGAGUACGGUAGGGGCAGAGGGGGGUGGAAUUCCACGUGUAGCAGUGAAAUGCGUAGAGAUGUGGAGGAACACCGAUGGCGAAGGCAGCCCCCUGGGCCAAUACUGACGCUCAUGCACGAAAGCGUGGGGAGCAAACAGGAUUAGAUACCCGCGUAGUCCCUGUCUC
RNAcentral lists this ribosomal RNA (301 nucleotides) under uncultured bacterium. RNAcentral's name for it is "partial 16S ribosomal RNA". It matches the Rfam family "Bacterial small subunit ribosomal RNA", at positions 509 to 803 of the family's 1533-position model. The record is from RNAcentral.